Long non-coding RNA from Neoarius graeffei (lesser salmon catfish), 3876 nucleotides. RefSeq lists it as uncharacterized. NCBI's taxonomy places the organism in Eukaryota, Metazoa, Chordata, Actinopteri, Siluriformes, Ariidae. The transcript is spliced from 3 exons. The record is from RefSeq and is a predicted model, not a curated record.
CAUGUCAUUUUCAGACGCUCCCUUAAUUCUUUUAUUGUGCUAAGAAUUUCCUGAUAGUCCCUAGAGCGUGCCAUAGAAUGUUUUGAAUCAAACCAGAUGCGGAAAACCAACUACGCUCAAUCAGACACGAUAGACCAACGAAUGACUAAGAAGAAGUAGAAGUAGAAAAACAGAAAAGAAAGAAGAAAGUAGAACAAAUAGAAAGAAAAUAGAUUCCCCCCAUUUGAUCCUCAUCUUCAACGCCUUCCUUUUUUUAUCGACUUCCUUCCCUUCGAUUUAUGUCCUGCAAUCAAGUCCCGAGAUCGUCGUGAGCUUGAUUUUCCUACCCGAUAUCCUGACUGGUUUUUCCGUACCCCUGGAAACGUCCCCCGAAUCACCUUCAUCUUUACCUGGAACCCCUGGAGCCCUGAUCUGCACUCCCCACCUUAUCAUCAUUUUCCCCUUGCACACCCCCCUGUCUUCCUCUGAUUGAACUGUCCCCCAUCAACGUCCACUGUCCCUGCUACUGUAGUAGGACUGAAUCCGACGUCAUCAUUCCUUUUAAUUUAAAUUUUUUUUUUGAGUGCACUCGUUUUAUUUGGGUUUAUUUUUUUUAUUCAGUUGAUUAUUUUGAGAUCUCAUAGGGUUUUUUUCCUAUGAAUAUUUCUAUGAACAUCUAAGAAUAUUUUGUUAUCAUUCCUUGUUGAGCCCUUGUAAUUACUACGUGGAUAAAUAGUGCCGGCACUUAGAAGGUAUAUUUUUAUUGAUAUUUUUUUGUACGAUACUCCUGGGUUACACCCCCAUGGUACAUUGUAGUGGAUUUACAUUGAUAUUUUUUGUAUGACAUUCCUGGGUUACACCCCCGUGGUAUAUUGAUAUUGGUAUUUUAUUGGUGGUACUCUCUGGUUACGUACACAUACACACACAUCAAACACUUGAUCACAAUCAUUAGUUUAGUAUUCCAUGAUAAGAUAGUUUAAGUAGGCUUAGAUAUCAAAUAGGACUAAAAUAUAUUAAAUAUAUUGAGUAUCUUAUCUAUUUUUAAUAUAUAUAUCUAACAUAUAUUUAAUAGGAUUUCAGUGAUUUGCACAAAACUUAGCGUAUUAUUCUUCUGACUGACACUUUUACUAUCCACGUUUCACACUGAUAGAUCUUACUUGCACCUUAUUGCACUAAAUAUUAUUUAUUGUAUAAAUUUAAUGACUUUCCCUUGAAUGAACUAAUUUAUUGUGUGAAUAAAUAUUUAUUGUAUUAUUAUUCUGACAUCAGUGAGUGCUGUGUGUUGCUUGGGGUGAGUAAUUGACUGUGGUCUAGCCAUAACCUAAACCAGUCUCCUUAGAACCCAGAGUUGGAGUUAGACUGUUCCCGCACAAGCACAGGUUGUUUCCCUCGUCGUGCGGGUUACAUGUGCAUGCACAGAACCUUUCUUUGUUAGCCGGUGGCACCUGCAGUAAACUGUUGCAGUGAAUUGAAAAUGCCAUAAGAUACAUAUUACACAUAAAACUACUGCACUAGCAAGCUACUUUUUACAUGUACAUUGGAUUGACAGAGCAUUGAAUUAUACUGGAUCAGAAUCAGCAUUGGAUAUUGGAAAGUACCCCCCCCCCCCCCGUUCUUACUUUUUUGUAAAAUAUAUAAUUGUUCCGGGGUGGCACAGUGGUGUAGUGGUUAGCGCUGUCGCCUCACAGCAAGAAGGUCCGGGUUCGAGCCCCGUGGCCGGCGAGGGCCUUUCUGUGCGGAGUUUGCAUGUUGUCCGCGUGGGUUUCCUCCGGGUGCUCCGGUUUCCCCCAAAGACAUGCAGGUUAGGUUAACUGGUGACUCUAAAUUGACCGUGAGUGUGAAUGGUUGUCUGUGUCUAUGUGUCAGCCCUGUGAUGACCUGGUGACUUGUCCAGGGUGUACCCUGCCUUUUGCCCAUAGUCAGCUGGGAUAGGCUCCAGCUUGCCUGCGACCCUGUAGAACAAGAUAAAGUGGCUAGAGAUGAUGAGAUAUAAUUGUUCCAUUGAAUGUGUAUGUAUAAUAAUAAAAAUAUUGGCUGGCUUUUUUUCGUAGUAUAUCAGAUAUAUUCCAUUCAGCUAGCAUGAUACUGAACAAGUUGAAGACGAGUAUCUGAUAUACCACUCAACACCAGCCGAUAUUAUUUAAAUACUGGUGUUCUUAUCACUCUAAGUAUCAUUAUUGUAUAGACACUUUAAACACUACGGGCUGCACAAUUAUGCCCUUAUUACAUACAGUACUGUCAAAAGUUUGGGCACACCUUUUAACUCAAGUGGUUUUUUUUCUUUAUUUUUGUUAAUUAAAAUACACUUCAUGUCUUAAAGUAAUGAUGGAUGUUGUUUCUCUUUACUUAGUUGAGCAGUUCUUGGCAUAAUAUGGAUUACUACAGUUGUUAAACAGGGCUAUUUACUGCAUUUUUAUUAUUUACUUGUUACUGUUUGAUCUCAAAUGCAUUAAAAAGGCCAGAAAUUGCACUAAUUAACUUUUGACGAGGCACACCUGUUAAUUGAAAAGCAUUCCAGGUGACUACCUCAUGAAGCUAGUUAAGAGAAUGCCAAUAGUGUGCAAAGCGUAAUCAAGGUAAAUGCUGGCUACUUUGAAGAAUCUAAAAUAUGAAACAUAUUUUGUUUAUAACACUUUUUUUGUUUACCUCAUAAUUCCAAAUAUGUUCCAUGUGUUAUUUCAUAGUUUUGAUGUCUUCAGUAUUGUUCUACAAUGUAGAGAAGAUUCAAAAUACAGCAAAAACAGUGAAUGAGUAGGUGUGUCAUACUAGGGCGUAAUUUUGGGUAGGGAUGCUAGGGACGUGUCCCUACCAAUAUUCAGCCGCUACUGUGUAAUCACGAUCAAUAAAACCGAUGUCCUAACCUGAGAAAUGAUUAUAUGGCACACAAAGGGUUAAAUGUAUGACACUGCUAAUAAUCCCCCCUCUAACGUAGAUAUCAUUCUCUGAUUAGCUACCUGUUUCUCGCUAACUUACAUGAUUGGCUAUCCCAGCUGUCACUCCAUCUGCUGUAAAAACAGCACACUUCCCACAGCAGCCGUGACUACCCGCCCAUCAACCCCCCGUAUCUCACACGUCCACACCUGACCUACCCCACGCACCCCCCACUCUCCGUCAGCCUACAUAUUGAGCUGGACUUCAAUGUCCAUGCAUGCUUCCCCUACGACUCGCAUGCUGACUUGAGUAUCAUGGAUGACGGCCCCCCUCCCAAGAAACGAGACAUUCGUUCAUUCUUCUUCAAAGUCAAGAAUGUAAGUGCAGGGUUUCCGUCGAGCUUUAAAAACUCAACAAAAUCCUUUUGAUGUAUGGAAACCCUUCAUAAAAGUAUUGCUGCGGCUCCUUAGGCAGGUUUAGCAACGUGACAGGACGCAUCAGAGCUAGGCUACUGCAUAGCUGCAGAGAAAAGGAAUGCUGGAACAAUGUAACUUGGUGUUAAAUAAUAUCCUCGAUGAAUGAAUGUUAAAUUUAUAGACCUAAUGGUUUUACAGAAUGUAAGUAGUCAGAUGUAGGCUACUGCAUGGCCAUGCAGAUGUGCGACUUGCAUUUCAGAAUCAACAGCGUGACAGCCGCUGAGUCUGCUGCGUUCACCGUUUUACAGAGACCUCUUUCUACUACUACUAGGCUAGGCUAGAUACAACAAAUCCAUGGUCCUUUACUGCCACCUACAGACGAAUAUUGGUAACCGCAGCAUGUUUGGUUCUUUCAAAUAGGAGCAACCAGUGUAAACUAAUUUGCUUGUGUUUAUGUUUGAGUAUCAGUAACCAACACAUUUACAUUUCAUUUAUGUGUACUUACAUGUUGUAGUUAUGUGUUUCAAUGUUCUUGAUGUAUGUUAAUUGACAGUAUGUUGCACUUUUGCAGCCCUUAACAUCCUGCAUAAGUAAAGCUGAGAACUCUGAA